CUUGAGCGACCCCAGCCGCACCGGCCGGUCGGCCGGGCGGUCGCGGCCGUAGGUGGCCAGCAGGGCGUUGGCCUC
Saccharothrix espanaensis DSM 44229 is the source of this 75-nucleotide non-coding RNA. It matches the Rfam family "ASpks TB sRNA". Lineage: Bacteria; Bacillati; Actinomycetota; Actinomycetes; Pseudonocardiales; Pseudonocardiaceae. The record is from Rfam.